This 253-nucleotide ribosomal RNA is filed under the name uncultured bacterium. Its description in RNAcentral is "partial 16S ribosomal RNA". It matches the Rfam family "Bacterial small subunit ribosomal RNA", at positions 524 to 776 of the family's 1533-position model. The record is from RNAcentral.
UACGAAGGGGGCUAGCGUUGUUCGGAUUUACUGGGCGUAAAGCGCACGUAGGCGGACUAUUAAGUCAGGGGUGAAAUCCCGGGGCUCAACCCCGGAACUGCCUUUGAUACUGGUAGUCUUGAGUUCGAGAGAGGUGAGUGGAAUUCCGAGUGUAGAGGUGAAAUUCGUAGAUAUUCGGAGGAACACCAGUGGCGAAGGCGGUUCACUGGCUCGAUACUGACGCUGAGGUGCGAAAGCGUGGGGAGCAAACAGG